Long non-coding RNA from Armigeres subalbatus, 683 nucleotides. RefSeq lists it as uncharacterized. NCBI's taxonomy places the organism in Eukaryota, Metazoa, Arthropoda, Insecta, Diptera, Culicidae. The transcript is spliced from 3 exons. The record is from RefSeq and is a predicted model, not a curated record.
AUGAUUCAUCAUCAGCUGAAUUGUUUUUGGAACAGAUGGAUAAAAGAGAUGCUGCCAACGUUGACGAAGAGGACCAAAUGGUUUGAUGAAAGAAAACCUAUAUCUCCUGGAGACUUAGUGCUGAUAGUGAAUGAAGGAAAGAGAAAUGAUUGGAUCAGGGGACGAGUACUCGAGGUAAUACCAGGAAGUGAUGGCAGGAUAAGGCAGGCCAUUAUAAAAACAGCGAGGGGUUUAUUGCGUAGAUCAGUAGCAAAGUUGGCAGUCUUGAACAUUGAGCAACUUCGUGGUGUGCCAAGCGGAUGCUUUGCAAAAUUCCUAAAUAUUACUUAUUCUAAAUAUUUCAAUUCUAAAUUGUUACUCUAAACAUCUUAAUUCUAAAAGUGAAUUUAUUCUACCUAUAUAAAUACUUAAAUUUGGAACUGACACAGUUCAUAGUGGAACUAAAACUUAGAUCUCUGAAGUGUCUUAGAACAUUCUUGAGUAAAAGUAGUUAGUUCAGUCUUAGGUGAUCUGGUUGAGCAGAUUGGAAUCAGAGUAGAUAGGACACCGAACGUGUAAGUGUUACGAAACAAUGAAAUUUAACCUAACUAAUUGCAAAAUAUACUUAUAGUUUAAAGCGUUCCCUCAUACAACCAAUCGUGUUUGAGUUGCUGAAAACCCGGUGACCGAUCCCAAGUUCUGCU